Molecule: ribosomal RNA, 505 nt
Filed under: uncultured bacterium
Lineage: Bacteria
Description: partial 16S ribosomal RNA
Rfam family: Bacterial small subunit ribosomal RNA
Source: RNAcentral
GACGAACGCUGGCGGCGUGCCUAAUACAUGCAAGUCGAACGCACAGUUUAUACCGUAGCUUGCUACACCAUAGACUGUGAGUUGCGAACGGGUGAUUAACGCGUAGGUAACCUGCCUGGUAGCGGGGGAUAACUAUUGGAAACGAUAGCUAAUACCGCAUGAUAUUAAUUAUUGCAUGGUAAUUAAUUGAAUGGUUCAAUUGCACCACUACCAGAUGGACCUGUGUGGUAUUAGCUAGUAGGUGAGGUAACGGCUUACCUAGGCGAAGAUACAUAUCCGAACUGAGAGGGUGGUCGGCCAACCCGGGACUGAGGACAGGCCCAGACUCCCUCGGGAGGGAGCAGGAGGGAAUCUUCGGCCAAUGGCGGAAGUCUGGCCGAACCAAGCCGCGGGGGUGAAGAAGGUUCUCGGAUCGUAAAGCUCUGUUGUAAGGGGAGAACGGGUGUUGGAGUGGAAAGUUCACACCGUGACGGUACCUUACCAGAAAGGGACGGCUAACUACGUG